UGAACACAGACUGUCGGUUGUGAGUCAACACAAGGGGCGAAAGUUCAGAUAACUCUCGUGUCUUUGUUGUGAAUGGAGGGAAAGACAACUUUCAGAGUUGAAGUUUGAAGUACUCCGCCCCCCAGUCUGUCUGUCUGCACCGGAGCUCCAGGCUGACUCCACACAGAUUGAAAUGAAUGCAGUCACAGAAACUUUUCCGGAUUUUGCUGCUUUGGUCCAUUGGUGGAAUUAUGGACAAUGAGGUCUUUCAAGCUUGUGGAGAACAUCUAUGCAGACACUGAGAUUUUCGAUCCUGUGGCUCUCAACAACCAUCAUCCAUUGACUGCAUACACAGUGGGAGGGAAGAUACUGGUGACCCCAAAAGUGUGCCUGCUGCAUUGAAGGGACGCAGAAUGGUCCAAGCUACGUAACGCAGGCUGCAUUGAGGUCAGCAUUAACCGGAGAAGAAGCGGUGAAGAUGAUGGUGCAGGUCCUUCUUUGAAGAGAGCAAAGCGAGGGGAGAUUAACUAUGUUCCUGACCACCCAGAUACCCAUACUGAUGACUCGCUGGAGGAGGAAAGACUAGCUCUGGUUGAGGAGUUAAAGAAGAGGAAUAAGAAUGUUGCACUCAUAAAGCAACAGAUGGAGGUGACAUUCUCCCUGAGGCGCAAGGAGAUUGUGGAGCUAGUGCCUAUGGUGUCAGAGGUUCAGGAGCGGUGGCCUGCUCUGUUUUACGAGGCAGAGAUCAGGGAAGAGUUUCUUCGGAUCACCAACAAGGACCUAAUAGACAACUUCGGAGCAGCCAUUAAUCAGCACACUCCUAGGCUCCUUAAACUCUAUCGGG
Sebastes umbrosus (honeycomb rockfish) is the source of this 823-nucleotide long non-coding RNA. RefSeq lists it as uncharacterized. NCBI's taxonomy places the organism in Eukaryota, Metazoa, Chordata, Actinopteri, Perciformes, Sebastidae. The record is from RefSeq and is a predicted model, not a curated record. The transcript has 5 exons.